AUUGAACGCUGGCGGCAUGCCUUACACAUGCAAGUCGAACGGCAGCGGGGGAGGAGCUUGCUUUUCCUGCCGGCGAGUGGCGAACGGGUGAGUAAUACAUCGGAACGUGCCCUGUAGUGGGGGAUAACUAGUCGAAAGAUUAGCUAAUACCGCAUACGACCUGAGGGUGAAAGUGGGGGACCGCAAGGCCUCAUGCUAUAGGAGCGGCCGAUGUCUGAUUAGCUAGUUGGUGGGGUAAAGGCCUACCAAGGCGACGAUCAGUAGCUGGUCUGAGAGGACGAUCAGCCACACUGGGACUGAGACACGGCCCAGACUCCUACGGGAGGCAGCAGUGGGGAAUUUUAGACAAUGGGCGAAAGCCUGAUCCAGCAAUGCCGCGUGUGUGAAGAAGGCCUACGGGUUGUAAAGCACUUUUGUCCGGAAAGAAAUGGCUCUGGUUAAUACCUGGGGUCCAUGACGGUACCGUAAGAAUAAGCACCGGCUAACUACGUGCCAGCCGCCGCAGUAA
This 508-nucleotide ribosomal RNA is filed under the name uncultured bacterium. Its description in RNAcentral is "partial 16S ribosomal RNA". It matches the Rfam family "Bacterial small subunit ribosomal RNA", at positions 30 to 523 of the family's 1533-position model. The record is from RNAcentral.